AUUGAACGCUGGCGGCAGGCCUAACACAUGCAAGUCGAACGAGUGGCGGACGGGUGAGUAAUGUCUGGGAAACUGCCUGAUGGAGGGGGAUAACUACUGGAAACGGUAGCUAAUACCGCAUACCAUCGGAUGUUCCCAGAUGGGAUUAGCUGGUGGGUGGGGUAACGGCUCACCUAGGCCACGAUCCCUAGCUGGUCUGAGAGGAUGACCAGCCACACUGGAACUGAGACACGGUCCAGACUCCUACGGGAGGCAGCAGUGGGGAAUAUUGCACAAUGGGCGCAAGCCUGAUGCAGCCAGGCGGCGUGUAUGAAGAAGGCCGUAGGGUUGUAAAGUACUUUCAGCGGGGAGGCGGUACCCGCAGAAGAAGCACCGGCUAACUCCGUGCCAGCAGCCGCGGUAAUUC
Molecule: ribosomal RNA, 406 nt
Filed under: uncultured bacterium
Lineage: Bacteria
Description: partial 16S ribosomal RNA
Rfam family: Bacterial small subunit ribosomal RNA
Source: RNAcentral